AAACGAUGAGGUAGUCUUUAGUGAGCCCGAAAUUUCAUAAUGUUUAGCAACCUACGACAAGCGAGUACAACUACAAAGGUCAAUGUUUAAAUAGGUGGCGCAAAGAGUUGCCCUCAAUGUAUGGAGGAAAUAUGGAAGAUUUUGACGAAAUAUUCGAAGAAAGGGAAGAAGAAGAGCGCUUUAUAGAUGAAUUUCCCACUAGCAUGAUUGCCGACCCUGUUGUUAUUAGAGGUGCUGGAAACAUGACAAUGUUUGGCUUAAGUAAUCGUUUUGAUACUGAAUUUCCAUCACCUUUGUCAGCCAAGGUUGCUCCAGAAGAAUACAAAGCCACGAUAUCCAGGUUAAACAGUGUAUUGAAAAAAACCUUACCGGUUAAUGUCAAGUGGUUAUUGUGUGGUUGUGUGUUUUGCUGUUGUACAUUUGGAUGUUCACUUUGGCCUGUGAUAUGCCUUAGCAAAAGAACAAGACAUUCAAUAGAAAAAGUAUUGGACUGGGAAAAUAGUCACCUUUAUCACAAGUUUUCACAUUUCACUUCCAUAAUCUCUAGAACCUUCUAAAUGAACAUCAAAAGAUUUUUUAAGCUUGGUCUACACUGGAGAUUAGGAAAACAGAGAGGAGAUUCAACUACUAUGAUGGAAUAUGUUCUAUUAAUAGAGUUCAUUUCAAAGAUUCCAAUUCAUCGGCCAGAUUAGUUGAUAGACUAGUAGUCCAACAUG
This 716-nucleotide unclassified non-coding RNA is filed under the name Limulus polyphemus (Atlantic horseshoe crab). Its description in RNAcentral is "cysteine-rich hydrophobic domain-containing protein 2-like, transcript variant X1". Lineage: Eukaryota; Metazoa; Arthropoda; Merostomata; Xiphosura; Limulidae. The record is from RNAcentral.